This 350-nucleotide ribosomal RNA is filed under the name Pseudaphritis urvillii (congolli). RNAcentral's name for it is "bacterial LSU rRNA". Lineage: Eukaryota; Metazoa; Chordata; Actinopteri; Perciformes; Pseudaphritidae. The record is from RNAcentral.
GAUUCAGUCGACGAUCCGCGGUGCUCCGCUGGGCGGCCUCGGGGCGCGCUUGCCCUGGGUUGCCGCGGCAUCGACCCCUCUAGGCGCUCUUCCCGGGCCGCGCGCAGGUCUCAGCGGCGGCGGCUGGCGGCAUAGGUUGGAGGAGGCCGGGCGGAAGGCGCGCCGCAGCCUGUGGCGGGGCGCUUUCUGGGGGCGGCGCGCUGCGGCUCCGCGGCGCCUGCUCCCGGGGGCGCUCUGCCCGGCGCGUGGGACACGCGCCGCCGCCUCUCUCCUCCCGCUGCCCUGCUGACGAGGGGGGUCGGGCGCCGAGCUCGGGUCGGGGCGAAGCGUGGGGUCGGGCUGGCUGGGUC